AUAAAGACUAUAAAAGGUAUUCAGCGGAUGCCUUGAUGUUAGAUCAAUAAGGACGUUAGACGUUGCGAAAAGUCAUGGGGAGAAACGUAAAUAAUCUGUGAUCCAUGAAUAUCCUAAGAGGAAACUCGAUCCUAAAGAAUAUAAAUACUUGGUGAACUGAAACAUCUAAGUAACCAAAGGAAAAGAAAUCAAAAGAGAUUCCGUUAGUAGUGGCGAGCGAAUGCGGAAUAGGCCUAAUAUUGUGAACAAAAAUUUAGAAAAGAUUGGAAAAUCUUACCAAAGAAGGUGAUAGUCCUGUAUAAAAAAACUCACAAUUCAUAUUGAGUAAGACGGUACACGUGAAAUUCAGUCUGAACAUAGGGAGACCACUCUCUAAGCCUAAAUAUGAUCUAAUAAUCGAUAGUGCACAAGUACCGUGAGGGAAAGGUGAAAAGAACCCUGAAAAAGGGAGUGAAAAGAACCUGAAACUGAAUACUGACUAGCAGUCGGAGCUUUGUAAUCAAGUGACGGCGUACCUCUUGUAUAAUGGGUCAGCGAGUUAAUAUAUUUAGCAAGCUUAAUCUGAUAAGAAUAGGCAAAGUGAAUACGAGUUUGAAAAAGAGCGUUAAGUUAAAUAUAUUAGACCCGAAACUGAGUGAUCUAUCCAUGAGCAGGUUGAAGAUGGAGUAAUAUUCAUUGGAGGACCGAACCCACGUCUGUUGAAAAAGCCGGGGAUGACUUGUGGAUAGGGGUGAAAGGCUAAUCAAACUCAGAGAUAGCUGGUUUUCCGCGAAAUCUAUUUAGGUAGAGCGUUAGAUGAUACAAUAUUUGGGGUAGAGCACUCAAUGGGCUAGGGGAGCAUAACGUUACUUCAAACCCAAGGAAACUCCGAAUACGAAUAUUGAUUCUCUAGUAGGCAGACUAUGGGUGAUAAGAUCCAUGGUCGAGAGGGAAACAGCCCAGAUCGUCAGCUAAGGUCCUAAAGUAAUUACUAAGUGGGAAAGGAAGUAAAAUAACUAAUACAGCCAGGAGGUGGGCUUGGAAGCAGCCAUCCUUUAAAGAAAGCGUAACAGCUCACUGGUCUAGUUCUUUUGCGCCGAAAAUGUACCGGGGCUUAAGUAAUUCACCGAAGCUACGAAUGAUAUAAAUCGUGGUAGCGGAACGUUCUGUAUGUUGUAGAAGAAAGAAUGUUAGUUCUUUUGGAGAUAUCAGAAGUGAGAAUGCUGACAUGAGUAGCGAUUAACAAUGUUAGAAUCAUUGUCGCCGUAUGUCCAAGGGUUUCUGCGCCAGGUUCAACCACGCAGAGUUAUUCGGCCCCUAAUAUCAAUACGAAAGUAGUAGUAGAUGGGUGAAUUGAUAGUGACGAAUUUUACGAAUAACAAAUGUAUCAUUGGAUUUACAUUUGUUAAACGAAAGUUCCAGGAAAUAGCUUCAAUUUAUAAACCGUACCCGAAACCGACACAGGUGGACUAGUUGAAUAUACUAAGGCGCUUGAGAGAACAAUCUUGAAGGAACUCGGCAAAAUAACUCCGUAACUUAGGGAGAAGGAGUACUCAUACUAGACAUAUGAGUGGCACAAAAAUGGGGGUAGCGACUGUUUAAUAAAAACACAGGACUCUGCAAAAUCGUAUGAUGACGUAUAGGGUCUGACACCUGCCCGGUGCUGGAAGGUUAAAGUGAUUUGUUCACGCAUUGAUCUGAAGCCCCAGUAAACGGCAGCCGUAACCAUAACGGUUCUAAGGUAGCGAAAUUCCUUGUCGGGUAAGUUCCGACCUGCACGAAUGGUGUAACGACUUCCCCACUGUCUCCAAGAUUGACUCAGCGAAAUUGAACUCUCCGUGAAGAUGCGGAGUACCAACGGCUAGACGGAAAGACCCCGUGCACCUUUACUACAUCUUUACAGUGCAAAUAGGAAUUCAAUGUGUAGAAUAGAUGGGAGCUUAUGACACCUUGGCGCUAGCCAAUUGUAGAGGCAACAAUGAAAUACCAUCCUUUGAAUUCUUCAUAGCUAACCAUGAUAUUUAUAAUAAUAUUUGGGACAUUGUAUGGUUGGUAGUUUGACUGGGGCGGUCACCUCCCAAAGAGUAACGGAGGUGCGCUAAGGUAGGCUCAAGUUGGUCGGAAAUCAACUGCAGAGUGUAAUGGCAUAAGCCUGCCUGACUGUAACACCUACAAGUGAAGCAGAGACGUAAGUCGGCCAUAGUGAUCCGGUGGUGCUGUGUGGAAAGACCAUCGCUCAACGGAUAAAAGGUACGCCGGGGAUAACAGGCUGAUGACUCCCAAGAGCCCUUAUCGACGGAGUCGUUUGGCACCUCGAUGUCGACUCAUCACAUCCUGGAGCUGCAGAAGGUUCCAAGGGUUCGGCUGUUCGCCGAUUAAAGUGGUACGCGAGUUGGGUUUAGAACGUCGUGAGACAGUUCGGUCCCUAUCUACCGUUGGUUUAGGAGAAUUGAAAGGAUCCGACCCUAGUACGAGAGGAUCGGGGAGGAUGUACCUAUAGUGUUCCAAUUGUCACGCCAGUGGCAUCGUUGGGUAGCCACGUACAGACAGAAUAACCGCUGAAAGCAUAUAAGCGGGAAAUCUACCUUAAAACAGGUUCUCCAAUUAGAGCCGUGAUAGACUAUCACGUUGAUAGGCUAAAUGUAUACGUGUGGCGACACACUAGCUGAUUAGUACUAAUUACUCUAAUGUCUUUAUAA
RNAcentral lists this ribosomal RNA (2678 nucleotides) under Seculamonas ecuadoriensis. RNAcentral describes it as "LSU rRNA". It matches the Rfam family "Bacterial large subunit ribosomal RNA". Lineage: Eukaryota; Jakobea; Jakobida; Moramonadidae. The record is from RNAcentral.